GUGGGGAAUAUUGGACAAUGGGCGCAAGCCUGAUCCAGCCAUGCCGCGUGAGUGAUGAAGGCCUUAGGGUUGUAAAGCUCUUUCAGUGGGGACGAUAAUGACGGUACCCACAGAAGAAGCCCCGGCUAACUUCGUGCCAGCAGCCGCGGUAAUACGAAGGGGGCUAGCGUUGUUCGGAUUUACUGGGCGUAAAGCGCACGUAGGCGGACUUUUAAGUCAGGGGUGAAAUCCCGGGGCUCAACCCCGGAACUGCCUUUGAUACUGGAAGUCUUGAGUAUGGAAGAGGUAAGUGGAAUUGCGAGUGUAGAGGUGAAAUUCGUAGAUAUUCGCAGGAACACCAGUGGCGAAGGCGGCUUACUGGUCCAUUACUGACGCUGAGGUGCGAAAGCGUGGGGAGCAAACAGGAUUAGAUACCCGAGUAGUCC
RNAcentral lists this ribosomal RNA (425 nucleotides) under uncultured bacterium. RNAcentral describes it as "partial 16S ribosomal RNA". It matches the Rfam family "Bacterial small subunit ribosomal RNA", at positions 354 to 796 of the family's 1533-position model. The record is from RNAcentral.